Chinchilla lanigera (long-tailed chinchilla) is the source of this 322-nucleotide long non-coding RNA. RefSeq lists it as uncharacterized. NCBI's taxonomy places the organism in Eukaryota, Metazoa, Chordata, Mammalia, Rodentia, Chinchillidae. The record is from RefSeq and is a predicted model, not a curated record. The transcript is spliced from 2 exons.
CGGAAUUAUAACACAAUUAAAUGGAAGUGAACAAAGACAUAUCAACACAAAAUUCGCCAGGCUUGGGAACUAGGAAAAGAGCCAUGUUAUGUGAUCUUGUCUUCCAGUCCAGUUUGAAUGAAGAAAAACCCAUUGAAGACUCGUUUAAGAACAGUGUUUUUUGAAGAAGGAAAAGAAAUACUAUUUGAGAGAAGGCAAACAAACAAAAAGGGUGAUGGAAAUAUGUAUCUUUGUUGUAUUUGUAACCCCAAGAGAACAACCUAUAGUGAACAUAGAGAACUGAGGAGUAAAUUAAAGAAUGACUGAAUUUUGUGGGUUUUGA